Molecule: transfer RNA, 73 nt
Filed under: Bacteroidales bacterium
Lineage: Bacteria; Pseudomonadati; Bacteroidota; Bacteroidia; Bacteroidales
Description: tRNA-Arg
Rfam family: tRNA
About the family: Transfer RNA (tRNA) molecules are approximately 80 nucleotides in length. Their secondary structure includes four short double-helical elements and three loops (D, anti-codon, and T loops). Further hydrogen bonds mediate the characteristic L-shaped molecular structure. tRNAs have two regions of fundamental functional importance: the anti-codon, which is responsible for specific mRNA codon recognition, and the 3' end, to which the tRNAs corresponding amino acid is attached (by aminoacyl-tRNA synthetases). tRNAs cope with the degeneracy of the genetic code in two manners: having more than one tRNA (with a specific anti-codon) for a particular amino acid; and 'wobble' base-pairing, i.e. permitting non-standard base-pairing at the 3rd anti-codon position.
Source: RNAcentral
AACUUCGUAGCUCAAUGAAUAGAGCGUCUGACUUCGGAUCAGAAGGUUGAGGGUUUGAAUCCCUCCGAAGUUA